Scylla paramamosain (green mud crab) is the source of this 1002-nucleotide long non-coding RNA. RefSeq lists it as uncharacterized. The transcript is spliced from 5 exons. NCBI's taxonomy places the organism in Eukaryota, Metazoa, Arthropoda, Malacostraca, Decapoda, Portunidae. The record is from RefSeq and is a predicted model, not a curated record.
UAAGAACUUUGUGACGGUGUUGCCAGUGCCCAAAGAGGAAAUUAAUGGGUUUGCAGCUUAUUUCUCCCAUGUUCUUAUUUAUUUGCUUUGGAAAAUUUUAUUUCUUAGUCCUUUGUGUCCUUUAUUGUCUCUUUAUGAUGAAAGUCUCUAAGGUUUCCUGCGUCUCUUCAGAAACUGAACAUAAAAUUUAUUUGGAAAGGAGACUAAUAUUUUUCUUGGCCAUCAGAUCAGCGAUGACUAUUUUACACGUGCUCUUCAUCUCACCUUGAAAAUGCAAGAAUCCCAGAGCGAAGAACCGGUGACGACGUGGUGCUUUCUUCAGUUUUCACACUUGCACAUUGCAGUGAGAGAAGACGUGCUAGUAACUGCUGUGACUAAGGAAGACACAGAAGACCAAGAUGUAGAGGGUUGAUCCGCAGCCGAAAGAAGAAGACUAAUGAAGCCAAGAGGCACGAUGACGAAGGUGCUGCCGGAUAGGAGGGAGGCAGUGAGAAGAGGUCCUUUGAGCACGUUUGUAUAGCCAGGGUCCCGAAGACUGCCCGGGGGAGACACACAUGUGAAGACACCAAAUGGACCGAGCAGGGUGAGCGCAUAGAAGAAGAAGAGAAGAGAAGGACGAAUGAACGGAGUCACGAAGACUGCCAUCCUACCCAGCCUUCACUCUCGGCAAGCCCUUCGUCACGCCGCCCUCUCCUGUGAUAGCGGCACGCGGCCGGAGGAGCCUGGCCGCUUUGAUCCCCGCCUAGCAACUCUGGGCAGGAAAACAACGUCGAGGCAAGCAUUAUUGAAAUUUCCCCUAACGUGAGCGAUCCUUUGAGAGGGAAAAAGCUGAUUAUGGACGAUAGAAGCUCCACCGCAGCAUAUCAAGCAGGACAACAGCAUAAGAGGGGAUGCACUACAGCCACGCGGGGUUCUGGAAAAAGGAAGAAACAGAUGAUCCAGUCAGUAUUCAUGAGGUGACGCAUAAAGGUUCAUCUUAAUGGAAGACAAUCCCAAAGAUCA